UUUUAGCGGCGGACGGGUGAGUAACACGUGGGUAACCUACCUUAUAGAUUGGGAUAACUCCGGGAAACCGGGGCUAAUACCGAAUAAUACUUUUUAACACAUGUUUGAAAGUUGAAAGACGGUUUCGGCUGUCACUAUAAGAUGGACCCGCGGCGCAUUAGCUAGUUGGUGAGGUAACGGCUCACCAAGGCAACGAUGCGUAGCCAACCUGAGAGGGUGAUCGGCCACACUGGGACUGAGACACGGCCCAGACUCCUACGGGAGGCAGCAGUAGGGAAUCUUCCACAAUGGACGAAAGUCUGAUGGAGCAACGCCGCGUGAGUGAAGAAGGAUUUCGGUUCGUAAAACUCUGUUGCAAGGGAAGAACAAGUAGCGUAGUAACUGGCGCUACCUUGACGGUACCUUGUUAGAAAGCCACGGCUAACUACGUGCCAGCAGCCGCGGUAAUACGUAGGUGGCAAGCGUUGUCCGGAAUUAUUGGGCGUAAAGCGCGCGCAGGUGGUUCCUUAAGUCUGAUGUGAAAGCCCCCGGCUCAACCGGGGAGGGUCAUUGGAAACUGGGGAACUUGAGUGCAGAAGAGGAUAGUGGAAUUCCAAGUGUAGCGGUGAAAUGCGUAGAGAUUUGGAGGAACACCAGUG
RNAcentral lists this ribosomal RNA (638 nucleotides) under Solibacillus isronensis. RNAcentral's name for it is "bacterial SSU rRNA". It matches the Rfam family "Bacterial small subunit ribosomal RNA", at positions 90 to 714 of the family's 1533-position model. The record is from RNAcentral. Lineage: Bacteria; Bacillati; Bacillota; Bacilli; Caryophanales; Caryophanaceae.